AUUGAACGCUGGCGGCAGGCCUAACACAUGCAAGUCGAGCUAUAGGCGGACGGGUGAGUAAUAUAUGAGGAUCUGCCCGAUAGCGGGGUCUAACUACUGGAACCGGUGGCUAAUACCGCAUACUAUCGGAUGAACCACUAUGGGAUUAGCUAGUGGGGGGGGUAAAGGCGCACCUAGGCGACGAUCUCUAGCUGGUCUGAGAGGAUGAUCAGCAAAACUGGGACUGAGAAACGGCCCAGAAUCCUACGGGAGGCAGCAGUGGGGAAUAGUGCACAAUGGGCGCAAGCCGGAUGAAGCCAUGCCGCGGGUAUGAAGAAGGCAGUAGGGUGGUAAAGUACUGGCAGCGGGGAGGCGUGACCCGCAGAAGAAGCACCGGCUAACUCCGUGCCAGCAGCCGCGGUAAUAC
RNAcentral lists this ribosomal RNA (406 nucleotides) under uncultured bacterium. RNAcentral's name for it is "partial 16S ribosomal RNA". It matches the Rfam family "Bacterial small subunit ribosomal RNA", at positions 29 to 526 of the family's 1533-position model. The record is from RNAcentral.